Molecule: long non-coding RNA, 678 nt
Filed under: Astyanax mexicanus (Mexican tetra)
Lineage: Eukaryota; Metazoa; Chordata; Actinopteri; Characiformes; Acestrorhamphidae
Description: lncRNA (ENSAMXG00005011691.1)
Source: RNAcentral
UGUAUUUACAGAAUGAUAUCAUACACUUUACAUCAUUAAAUAUGUUGUGUCAUGCAAUUUCUAGAUUACAGAUAUGGGGCAAAAAUCUAAAGACAAGAAGAAGAAAAAGGAAUCCAUGCUCAAUCUGAUACAUGAACCCCCUGUCAAACAUACCCUCGCCUCGGUUCACGUGGAACUCAAAGACCUGCUGGAGGGAAAGAAUCAAAUUCAAGUAAAGUGUGACCUGGGGGUGCUGUUCUCAGAAAAGAGCAUGAGGACCACUGUGAGCCGUGACAAGGAGCAAAGUAAGAGGCCUAAAGAAGUAAAGAAAGAGGAGAGGAAAAACAUCUCAAGUGGAGAAACGAGUGCUCAGAGGACUGGAACAUCUUCUAAAGGUAAAGGUAAACGACGGGUGGAGAAUGAGACUCCAUCUGCUCCAGCUGAUGACCUCAUGCAUUCCAGCAUGGAGCCGCUAGUUGUGGAGUUCAGUGUGCAGCUUGGCAGAGUGACGUCUACUUCCCAAUUCACAAACCCACACUGUUCUACAACAACACUGUCUGAUCUUUAGGGUGGCCAGAGGGUCAGGAGUGGUUACAAUAUUACUUUAUAAUGAAACAUUUUUAGACAAUUGCUCAUCUAACAUUUCUUCUGAAACCAGUGUUUAAUAAAGAACUUUGUUUCCUCUUCUGCUGAAGUAAU